Molecule: ribosomal RNA, 468 nt
Filed under: uncultured bacterium
Lineage: Bacteria
Description: partial 16S ribosomal RNA
Rfam family: Bacterial small subunit ribosomal RNA
Source: RNAcentral
GAUGAACGCUGGCGGCGUGCUUAACACAUGCAAGUCGAACGGAAAGGCCCAAGCUUGCUUGGGUACUCGAGUGGCGAACGGGUGAGUAACACGUGGGUGAUCUGCCCUGCACUUCGGGAUAAGCCUGGGAAACUGGGUCUAAUACCGGAUAGGACGAUGGUUUGGAUGCCAUUGUGGAAAGUUUUUUCGGUGUGGGAUGAGCUCGCGGCCUAUCAGCUUGUUGGUGGGGUAAUGGCCUACCAAGGCGUCGACGGGUAGCCGGCCUGAGAGGGUGUACGGCCACAUUGGGAAUGAGAUACGGCCCAGACUCCGACGGGAGGCAGCAGUGGGGAAUAUUGCACAAUGGGCGCAAGCCUGAUGCAGAGACGCCGCGUGGGGGAUGACGGCCUUCGGGUUGUAAACACCUUUCGCUAGGGACGAAGCGUUUUUGUGACGGUACCUGGAGAAGAAGCACCGGCUAACUACGUG